This 71-nucleotide small RNA is filed under the name Staphylococcus arlettae. The record is from RNAcentral. Lineage: Bacteria; Bacillati; Bacillota; Bacilli; Caryophanales; Staphylococcaceae.
CUACAUACAACCGCUCGAUUACAGGUUAUAAGUACAUUAUGUCACCUGUAGUUGGCGUGACUUAAAUUAUA